CCUUCCGCAAUGUGAGAAAUCGUGACGGGGGGAUCCCAAGUGCCAUUCUUAACGGGAUGGCUUUUCUUAAGUGUAAAAAGCUUUUGGAAUAAGAGCUGGGCAAGACCGGUGCCAGCCGCCGCGGUAACACCGGCAGCUCUAGUGGUAGCUGUUUUUAUUGGGCCUAAAGCGUUCGUAGCCGGUUUAAUAAGUCACUGGUGAAAUCCUAUAGCUUAACUGUGGGAAUUGAUGGUGAUACUGUUGAACUUGAGGUCGGGAGAGGUUAGCGGUACUCCCAGGGUAGAGGUGAAAUUCUGUAAUCCUGGGAGGACCACCUGUGGCGAAGGCGGCUAACUGGAACGAACCUGACGGUGAGGGACGAAAGCUAGGGGCGCGAACCGGAUUAGAUACCCGGGUAGUCCUAGCCGUAAACGAUGCGGACUUGGUGUUCGGGUGGCUUUGAGCCGUUCCCGUGCCGAAAAGGGAAGUUGUUAAAUCCGCCGCCUGGGAAGUACGGUCGCAAGGCUGA
This 508-nucleotide ribosomal RNA is filed under the name uncultured Methanobrevibacter sp. RNAcentral describes it as "bacterial SSU rRNA". It matches the Rfam family "Archaeal small subunit ribosomal RNA", at positions 343 to 852 of the family's 1478-position model. Lineage: Archaea; Methanobacteriati; Methanobacteriota; Methanobacteria; Methanobacteriales; Methanobacteriaceae. The record is from RNAcentral.